GGGAGUGUAGCUCAGUUGUACAGCAUCUGCUUUGCAUGCAGAAGGUCCCAGGUUCAAUCUCUAGUAACUCCA
This is a non-coding RNA of Podarcis lilfordi (Lilford's wall lizard), 72 nucleotides long. The record is from the annotation of a GenBank genome assembly. NCBI's taxonomy places the organism in Eukaryota, Metazoa, Chordata, Lepidosauria, Squamata, Lacertidae.